Molecule: ribosomal RNA, 468 nt
Filed under: uncultured Steroidobacter sp.
Lineage: Bacteria; Pseudomonadati; Pseudomonadota; Gammaproteobacteria; Steroidobacterales; Steroidobacteraceae
Description: bacterial SSU rRNA
Rfam family: Bacterial small subunit ribosomal RNA
Source: RNAcentral
GUCCUACGGGUGGCUGCAGUGGGGAAUAUUGGACAAUGGGGGCAACCCUGAUCCAGCGACGCCGCGUGGGUGAAGAAGGCCUGCGGGUUGUAAAGCCCUUCGGUGGGGAAGAAAAGUCUCGGCCUAAUACGCUGGGACCCUGACGUAACCCACUAAAGAAGCACCGGCUAACUCUGUGCCAGCAGCCGCGGUAAUACAGAGGGUGCGAGCGUUAAUCGGAAUUACUGGGCGUAAAGCGCGCGUAGGCGGCGUUGCAAGCCGGAUGUGAAAUCCCCGGGCUUAACCUGGGAACUGCAUUCGGGACUGCAUUGCUAGAGUAUGGGAGAGGGAAGUGGAAUUUCAGGUGUAGCGGUGAAAUGCGUAGAUAUCUGAAGGAACAUCAGUGGCGAAAGCGACUUCCUGGACCAAUACUGACGCUCAUGUGCGAAAGCGUGGGGAGCAAACAGGAUUAGAUACCCUAGUAGUCGG